UUGGAGCGCGGCGAUCAGCCGCUCCCCCCGUAAAAGCACACGGGGGUGACGUCACCACGAGCCACACGCACGCUGGGCACGGCGCGGCAGAGGUCGGGGGAGAACCGCGCUUACACGCAGCUGUCACGAGAGGCUGCGCGUGCGCGCGGCAGGUGCCGGGGGCGAGGCCUUGCCGGGGAGGGGCAGGGCUUGGAGCGCGGUUCUCAGCUCCACACACUUCAAAACACACGGGAGUGGUGUCACCGCGAUCCACGCGCACUUUAAAACUGAUCUCCGUUGUCCUCUCCCCACACUCCCUGAUAAAGAGCCCAUCCACAUCUUUUCUUCAAGUACUGGAAGGCUGCACUUACGUAAUGGGAAUAUGUUGUAAUGCAGAGAACUUUUCCUGAGACCAUGAAGGAAGCUGGGGAGUUUGAUGGCUUCAAUCUUCAUCUUAGGAAAAGGAGUUAUGCGCACUUCAAGGUCAACAAGGAUUUUUUUCUCUGAGGCCUUCUGAUGCUUAAUGUAUUUUUCAUUUUAUGAUUGCCCAAAGCUAGAUAUGGCUGGGGCUAUUGGCGUGUCUGAGGAGCUGCCUGAGUAGCUGUUGAUUGUCCUAAUCACAUCUGGUGGACAGCAAGAAUUACAGGAGGACUUAAUCUCCUUCUCCCUACCCUAGCCUGUCGUCUUUUGAUGAAGACCAGGUAAAAGCAUACUGCAGAUGGGACCACUCUCCAUAUGGCUCCCUUCUUUGGAUCGCUGCUGCCUCUUGUGCUUGCUUCCCAUGACAGUUGUAGCAUGUGUAGUUUUUCAUGCAAUUAUAUAUAUAUAUUUCAGGCCUUGUGUCUGUUGUGAUGUGUUGUGGAAAAUAAAUCCGAGUGGCUGCCUUCAAGAUUAAACUUUAUUAGUUGCUUUCUUGUGAUGAGUAUUUAACUGGCAUUAACAACUCAGUAGGUUAAAAGAGAUAGGGGUGGCUGUAAAGUCCCAUGAACCACUUACAAAUGCCUGUCCACACAACCUCACCCACACCAUGGCACAGCUGGUAGAUAUAUUCCUGUAUCUGAUGGAGUGAAAUGCAGUGGGUUUCUAGGGAAACCAUGCACAGUUAGUUAUAUUCAGGACAGUGCUGUCAUAUUUUUUUUUGGUUGGUACCCUUCUGUAUUUACUUUACAGAGCUGUAAAUCAUGUGGAAUGCAUGUGCUGCAAGAAAUAGUGUGUCAGUGUUGAAGAAGCUGCCGCUGUUGUGCCCAAAUUGCUGUAAAAUGGAUUUAUGCCAGCAUGACUUGCAAUGCUGUAACAUGUCUGUGUUAGCUGCUUGUACUGGUGCAAACCUGUGUAUGCCUGUUAUAGCUGCAUGCCUCAAGAAACACAGGGCUUGAAACUUAGGUUUCUGAUGCAACACUUUUUGGGUAAAGCCAUUUCCUCUGCAUGACUUGUGUAAUUAAGUUUAUUAAGAAUCCUGGCACCCUUACAAAUGGAUGUACGUGUAUUAUGAGGCACAGGGAAAGUGCUAGACUUAAGCUUGAGGACAAAGGUGGAAUUGAGGCACACCCAGCUUUAAGGCUUUAAGAAGAUAAUGAAUUGUAUUUCCUUUGCAGCUGCCACUCUAGUCCAAGGCUAGAUUGCAUAGUUUCUGCCCAGCCUGUGCUCUAGCAGCAUGUCCGGCAGGUGGGGUCCCGGGGCUUUUCUUGCUGUGGCUGUAUUUGACCAGUCAAGAGGGCACAGAACCUACUGUUCUCCCCUAUGGGGUUUUUGCUGGGGUCAGUGUAACUACAGGGCCAAUGGCCCUGACCUGCAGAUCUCCCAAGGUACCCCUGUGCAGAGCGAGUGGCAGCGCUGUGAUCAGGCCACGUCAGUCCUGAGCAGGUGGCUCCGCAACUGCCAGGUGCCAAGGCCAUGUGAACCGAGCAGCCUGGCAGUGGGAGAGUAGCAGCAGAGCAGGAAUUGCUGCUCUUAUUAUCUCAGAAAAUAUAUCAUAGUUUCAAAUCCUGAAGACCACAACCUGUAAAGUGAAAUUCCCCUUUUCCCUAGAGAGGCUGGACAAGGCAUGGUGUUUCUCCUGGAAUCCUUUAAUUUCAGACACUGAGUUCUUUGUGAUUUCUGAUGCACUGGACCUACAGAGAGUAGCAGUUGCAAUACAACGACUUGUCCAAAACUACAGAUCUAUUCUUUCUUUUAUAGGUAAUCUUCUACAGUGUUUGUUCUUUUGCAAACAUGAACUUUUUAUUUCAAAACAAGGAUAAAAGUAAAGUAUUCUAAUUUGUGAUGAAAGUUCCCUUCCUCUCUACAGAUACACUCAGCUGCUACUGUAACAGGAGAGAAUUUCUGGCUCUAGCAAGAAAUUUCAUGUAUUUUUGGAAUAAACUUUUACUAAGGCAAAAUAAUUUGUAAAAAUAGAUCAUUUUCUCAAUCAACUUUUAAAUAUUUAUAGUUUAAGGAGCACUGUUCUUGCUUCCAAACUCAGGUUUGGAAGUAUUUAUGCAGUAUUUAUUUUAGUAAACUGUGCACUCGUAUCAACAAUUAGGAAAGCUUUUAUUUGCCUCAACAGCAGCAACUGAACUAGGAUUUGCGUGGCAGGUUGGCAGAAUUGGCACGCAUGAAGAGAGGCUCUUAGAUGUUGAUACAGGCACUUCCAUGUAUUGACUUACGAGCAAACAUUGCUCCUAAUGGUUGAUAGCAUCCAGAAGUCAGUCUGGUGGUAAAUAACUGGGUAAGUGGUGUCAGCUUCUUGAGACUCUGACCCUGAAGACUGUCAACUUGUAUAUGCCUGUAUGUUUUUUUUUACCAAAUAAUGAUGAAGAUGUGUCAGGGAGUUUUCUGAGCAUGUUUACAAACAGCGCAUAGACAAAACUGAAUAUUCCUUCUGUGCUGGCUUGCUGGCUAAGAUGUAUAAACCAUGUCAUUCCAAGGAUGACUUGCUAAGAGCAACUAAGUUCUUUCUAAACAACAUGCAUAUGGAAAAAAAUCAGAGAUGUUACAGUCUCAGAUGCUCUGUGUGUGUGCGCGGCUGUACAUACUGGAGUUGCAGUUCUCUGAUUUUUCUUGUCUUCCUUAGGCAAGUUCACCUUUGGGAGUGUGGGGAUGUGAAAUUAGUAGUGUAAUUUAGCAAGUCUUUAGGGACUAAGGAGCAGCAUCACCAGUGAAGCGACUAAAAAUAUCUGCCAGUUAGAGGAGGGUGGAGCAAGCCUUUGUAGAGGCUACGUACACUCCCAAGAGCAGCACAUGCUGCACUACUAUGCUGUGGCUGGCUAGUAAAACCAGGCCAUCUUACAUCAGGGCUACACAAAUAGCAGAAGCUUUACUUGCACAUUCCUUGUGGAGUGGAAUUGCUCAGCAGUCCGUCCCCUGGAUCCUGCUGGUGUAGCUGACACAUAUCACAUGAUCAAGGAGGUAGUUGUGAUUGCAGAGGGAAACCUCCUUGAUUAAAACACAAAGCACGUGCACCUUUCCAAGCAAAAGCCUAUAUGUACACUCUACACUGUGUUCCUGACUUGGCUCCUGAGAAGACAGAUGAAAUUGGGGCUUUGACACAAGUCCAACUCAGUAUGAAGUGGAAACAAAGCACAUAACAUAUAUUUUCUUUAUUGCUGGACUUUUUUAUUUUUUCCAGUAAGUAGGCAUGAUUCCUUAAAGGCUGAGGUUUUUUUAAUACAGUAAGGUUUUUCAGGUUUCUUUUUUUGCUGUGGACAAAAGGAUACCUUUGAUCAAAGUUUUGCCUUAUAUUACAGUAUUUCUGUACAAAAAUAAAAGUCCAAAAUCAGCUUUAUAUUAGCUGAUAUUCCCCAAUUUAUUUACAGGGUAGUGUCAAGAACCUUCAUCAGGCAACCGGGUAAAAUAGAAAACUCUGUAUUAAAGCAGUUGCAUUGUAUAACUUUGCAUUUUCCAGUCAACUCGGAAGGGCCCUGACCUUUGGAAGUGAGUCUGGCUUGGAGAGUCCAGCCAGAAUUACAAAAGUGAUGUUUUAAAAGAGAAAAAUUAAUAUUAAAAACUUAAGCUGGCGUUGUGUAGUACUGAACUGAUAACUGUAUUUCAGUAUUAGGGUAGUCUAUAAAUACUCUCAGCUACAUCUCUCUUUAUAAUACAGCAGAUACAGAAUGCAGACUUCUGCUACUUACGUGGUAAUACAUAUUUGCAAUAUAU
This is a long non-coding RNA of Cuculus canorus (common cuckoo), 4116 nucleotides long. RefSeq lists it as uncharacterized. NCBI's taxonomy places the organism in Eukaryota, Metazoa, Chordata, Aves, Cuculiformes, Cuculidae. The record is from RefSeq and is a predicted model, not a curated record. The transcript is spliced from 4 exons.